Long non-coding RNA from Lutra lutra (Eurasian river otter), 1389 nucleotides. RefSeq lists it as uncharacterized. The record is from RefSeq and is a predicted model, not a curated record. NCBI's taxonomy places the organism in Eukaryota, Metazoa, Chordata, Mammalia, Carnivora, Mustelidae. The transcript has 4 exons.
UGGCGCGCAGUCCCAGAAGCCUGGCUGUUUGUGGCCUGGCUGACGGUCAAUACCGGCUUCCAGACACGCCAUGUGAGGCCACGUUAGGCCACCCAGCCCCACUGAACCACCUGAUAGAUGAAUUUCACGGCUUGAGUGACUCCGGUCGGGCCUGCAGAUGAAGCACUAGAUACCUUCCACCUUGAAUUUCCUAUGACUUUAUGAUGCUACUUAAGAAGACAAGACCCAAGAAACACUUAAUGAACAACAGCAUAUGUGAUGAAAUACAGCCAACGAGUCCCAAAGAGCCAGAAAACAGACUCUGGAGAAGGAGGAUUUGGGAAGCAAGAUCAAAUCUGGGUGAAGGUUGAGGAUGGGGAGUCAUUUCAGUCUCUUCACUCCUAGGUCAUCAAGCCCAACGUGAGAAGCGGAAUCGAUGUGAAUUGUGGGCUCACAGCCUGGAUCACUUCAGCCUCAAGCGAGGAGGAAUCCCUGUAGCUGAGAUGAGUCCCAUUUGAACAACAGGAAGAAUGAAAGAAUUUGAAGUUUGUAAGAGUGCAUGGAAAUAGUGCAUAGAAAGCUGAGGAGAAGGGUCACUAUUUUUCAUAUUUAUCAUCAGAAAGCUUUUUAUACAGAAAAUAGUGGAUCCAUCAGUCAUCCUUUGUGAAAUUCUAUGGGGAUAGGUCAUGAGUCAACACAGCAAGAGGGAUUUGUGUUAGCUACAAAGGAAAUAUUUGCUGAUAGGACAGGCUAUAAAAUGGAGGGGCGAAUCUUUAAAUCUUAAGCUGAAUUCCAUCAAUUUCAGUGGUCUGCUCUUUGAUCGAGGUGUAGCGGUAUUGUUUACUAGAUAUAUCAAAGUCCUUCCCACAUCAGAGAGUCUGGAAUUUUUCUUAGUGACUCAGUUUUACUUAAGUAUGCCUAUUUUAAGAAAAAAAAAUUAUUUCAGGGUUGAUCACAGAAUCAUUUAAGCACAAGGAAUUCUGUAAGAGGACUGUCUUACUAAAAUGUUACCUUUAAUGGCUUUAGAAAAAUCCCUGGAGUGCAGAAAAUGUCAUUGGAACAUCUAUUAAUGUUUACUCUCUAAAAGCGUUUUUAACAAGGACAUCAAGAUUGCAGGUGAAUUCUUCCAGUUAAUAUAACAGAUAUGUUAAGUCCGUAAAGUUCCCGUAGGUCUGUCACUGUGUACGAAGUUGGGAACAAAGAAACCCAAUAUUCUGUGAGCCACAAAAGAGGUAAACAAAAAGACAAACUCCCCUGACUCUCAGCACUUUUCAUCUCUGCAUUGCUAUGCCCAGAAAAAGAGAACAAUCCAGAGUUACUUUUAGCAUUUACAACUCAAUACAAUACAAAAUUGUAGAGGUGAACAACUGUUCAAAUUGACUUACUUUUUUCUCAAAGUGGCUGUGAGUG